Molecule: ribosomal RNA, 496 nt
Filed under: uncultured bacterium
Lineage: Bacteria
Description: partial 16S ribosomal RNA
Rfam family: Bacterial small subunit ribosomal RNA
Source: RNAcentral
GAUGAACGCUGGCGGCGUGCCUAAUACAUGCAAGUCGAGCGAACAGAUAAGGAGCUUGCUCCUUUGACGUUAGCGGCGGACGGGUGAGUAACACGUGGGUAACCUACCUAUAAGACUGGGAUAACUUCGGGAAACCGGAGCUAAUACCGGAUAAUAUUUUGAACCGCAUGGUUCGAUAGUGAAAGAUGGUUUUGCUAUCACUUAUAGAUGGACCCGCGCCGUAUUAGCUAGUUGGUAAGGUAACGGCUUACCAAGGCGACGAUACGUAGCCGACCUGAGAGGGUGAUCGGCCACACUGGAACUGAGACCGGUUCCAGACUCCUACGGGAGGCAGCAGUAGGGAAUCUUCCGCAAUGGGCGAAAGCCUGACGGGGCAACGCGGCGUGGGUGAUGAGGGUCUUCGGAUCGUAAAACUCUGUUAUUGGGGAAGAACAUACGUGUAAGUAACGGUGCACGUCUUGAGGGUACCUAAUCAGAAAGCAACGCCUAACUACGU